ACGAUGAAAGUUCUAGCUUGCUAGAGUGCUGAUUAGUGGCGCACGGGUGAGUAACGCAUAGGUCAUGUGCACUCUUAGUUUGGGAUAGCCAUUGGAAACGAUGAUUAAUACCAGAUACUCCCUACGGGGGAAAGAUUUAUCGCUAAGAGAUCAGCCUAUGUCCUAUCAGCUUGUUGGUAAGGUAAUGGCUUACCAAGGCUAUGACGGGUAUCCGGCCUGAGAGGGUGAACGGACACACUGGAACUGAGACACGGUCCAGACUCCUACGGGAGGCAGCAGUAGGGAAUAUUGCUCAAUGGGGGAAACCCUGAAGCAGCAACGCCGCGUGGAGGAUGAAGGUUUUAGGAUUGUAAACUCCUUUUGUUAGAGAAGAUAAUGACGGUAUCUCACGAA
This 393-nucleotide ribosomal RNA is filed under the name uncultured Helicobacter sp. RNAcentral's name for it is "bacterial SSU rRNA". It matches the Rfam family "Bacterial small subunit ribosomal RNA", at positions 66 to 486 of the family's 1533-position model. The record is from RNAcentral. Lineage: Bacteria; Pseudomonadati; Campylobacterota; Epsilonproteobacteria; Campylobacterales; Helicobacteraceae.